RNAcentral lists this transfer RNA (73 nucleotides) under Ovis aries (sheep). It matches the Rfam family "tRNA". From Rfam's summary of the family: Transfer RNA (tRNA) molecules are approximately 80 nucleotides in length. Their secondary structure includes four short double-helical elements and three loops (D, anti-codon, and T loops). The record is from Rfam by way of RNAcentral. Lineage: Eukaryota; Metazoa; Chordata; Mammalia; Artiodactyla; Bovidae.
UCCCUGGUGGUUCAGAGGCUAUGACUCCACAUUCUCAAUGCAGGGGGCCUGGGUUCGAUCCCUGGUCAGGGAA